AUUCCAGCUCCAAUAGCGUAUAUUAAAGUUGUUGCGGUUAAAAAGCUCGUAGUUGGAUUUCUGCUGAGGACGACUGGUCCGCCCCCUGGGUGAGCAUCUGGUUCGGCCUGGGCAUCUUCUUGGGGAACGUAUCUGCACUUGAUUGUGUGGUGCGGUAUCCAGGACUUUUACUUUGAGGAAAUUAGAGUGUUUCAAGCAGGCCCGCGCCUUGAAUACAUUAGCAUGGAAUAAUAAGAUAGGACCUCGGUUCUAUUUUGUUGGUUUCUAGAGCUGAGUAAUGAUUAACAGGGACAGUCAGGGGCACUCGUAUUCCGCCGAGAGAGGUGAAAUUUUCAGACCAGCGGAAGACGAACCACUGCGAAAGCAUUUGCCAGGGAUGUUUUCAUCG
This 388-nucleotide ribosomal RNA is filed under the name Dinophyceae sp. Its description in RNAcentral is "partial small subunit ribosomal RNA". It matches the Rfam family "Eukaryotic small subunit ribosomal RNA", at positions 582 to 975 of the family's 1831-position model. Lineage: Eukaryota; Dinophyceae. The record is from RNAcentral.